Long non-coding RNA from Hibiscus syriacus, 235 nucleotides. RefSeq lists it as uncharacterized. The record is from RefSeq and is a predicted model, not a curated record. NCBI's taxonomy places the organism in Eukaryota, Viridiplantae, Streptophyta, Magnoliopsida, Malvales, Malvaceae. The transcript has 2 exons.
AAUUAAAAUGGAAAAUAAAAAAAACAAAAACAUGAUCAAAAUAUGCCGUCAGCUAGUCCUCAAUUUGAGAUUAUCCGGUACUUAAAAUUAAAAAUUAAAUUUAAAUGUUUAAUCAUCAACACUAUUAGUAUUUUCUACCCAUUCUUUUAUCAAUAUACUCAAUAAAUUUCAUCAGCUUCACAAGCAAAUAAUUAUGAAUUCAGGAAACACACAUUAUACUAAGCAAAUUUUGACA